Molecule: long non-coding RNA, 1011 nt
Organism: Triticum aestivum (bread wheat)
Lineage: Eukaryota; Viridiplantae; Streptophyta; Magnoliopsida; Poales; Poaceae
Exons: 2
Source: RefSeq, a predicted model, not a curated record
UGUUUGUCCUUUUAAUAAGAAAGAUGCUCAAAUACGGUGUUAUAAUCAUUGGGCUAAAGUGUUGUCAUGUCUAUGGUUAGAGUACUACAUCAUUGUCUACGUAUGAGCGUUGACAGUCUCAAUUUCGUAUCAGUUUAGUUGGUUCAUUUAAUGAAGGUUGAAAAACAUGAAGAGGCUUUGACUGUUUUGGUCUUAUAGGAUUCUGUUUUCUUGUUGUAUGAAUGAACACCAUCUUCUGAAAAUGCUCACACUUCAUAUGCUGAUUGUUAUAAAUGCUUGAAAAAUACCAGAGCACUUGAUUUUUAUACAUGCUUUUGAAUCCAUCAUCAGAAAGAGAUGGUCAUCUUAUUAAUUACACUCCUACGAUGGCACUUUGAAAUGCGGUACAUGUUUCACAGUUCUCCUCUCAAGCAUAUAUAUUUCUUUGGGUUAAUUAUGAGCUCAACAUUGAGUAUUUUCCACUUGAUUGGAGUGCUCCUCUUGACCAGAUUUUCCGUUUCCUUUUUAGUUUCUGAUCUGAAGGUGAAUAGUUAGCAGACACAUGCCAAUGUUUGUGUAUGCUUAUAAUAGUUGUUAAUUUAAACUUUGGUCUCCAUUUGCAGGUUGAGAGUAUAGUAUUAAGCAUCAUUUCGAUGCUUUCUAGUCCAAAUGAUGAAUCACCGGCAAAUAUUGAAGCAGCUAAGGACUGGAGAGAGAAGCAGGAUGAGUUCAAGAAGAAGGUCAGGCGCGCUGUACGGAAAUCCCAGGAAAUGCUCUGAAUAAAGUGGGAGUACUGGGGAAGUUAGCCAUGCCAUUUCAGGUGUGGAGGGUUUUGCUGUCGAUCUCCAAAUGUCCAUCCGACACUAGCAAUUUCACUUCUCCCCUGUAUAUUUUCCAUUAGCCUGUCUCCUGUGGAGGUCUUGGUUUUGACUCUGAAAACGCAACGCAUAUUUCUAAGGGUCUGGUUGUUGUAAUUGUGUGGCUUCGGCUAUCAAAUAUUGAGAAACUUUGGAGAGCUGCUACUUACCAUAA